This 253-nucleotide ribosomal RNA is filed under the name uncultured bacterium. RNAcentral's name for it is "partial 16S ribosomal RNA". It matches the Rfam family "Bacterial small subunit ribosomal RNA", at positions 524 to 776 of the family's 1533-position model. The record is from RNAcentral.
UACGUAGGGUGCGAGCGUUAAUCGGAAUUACUGGGCGUAAAGCGUGCGCAGGCGGUUAUGCAAGCCAGAUGUGAAAUCCCCGGGCUCAACCUGGGAAUGGCAUUUGGGACUGCAUAGCUAGAGUAUGGCAGAGGAGACUAGAAUUCCUGGUGUAGCAGUGAAAUGCGUAGAUAUCAGGAGGAAUACCGAUGGCGAAGGCAGGUCUCUGGGUUAAUACUGACGCUCAUGCACGAAAGCGUGGGGAGCAAACAGG